GCCGGGUGUGGUGGUGGGCGCCUGUAACCCAGCUACUCGGGAGGCUGAGGCAGGAAAAUUCCUGGAACCCGGGAGUUGGAGGUUGCAGUAAACCGAGAUUGCGCCACUGCACUCCAGCCUGGGCUGGACAGAGCGAGACUCCAUCUCAAAAAAAAAAAAAAAAAAAAAAAGGUUUGUUUGAGACAGGAUCUCAAUCUGUCACCCAGGCUGGAGUGCAGUGGCGUGAACAUGGCUCACUGCAACCUUGAACUUCUGAGCUCAAUGGAUCCUCCUACCU
This 277-nucleotide long non-coding RNA is filed under the name Homo sapiens (human). RNAcentral describes it as "non-protein coding lnc-DDB2-1:1". The record is from RNAcentral. Lineage: Eukaryota; Metazoa; Chordata; Mammalia; Primates; Hominidae.